RNAcentral lists this ribosomal RNA (653 nucleotides) under Salmonella enterica. Its description in RNAcentral is "partial 23S ribosomal RNA". It matches the Rfam family "Bacterial large subunit ribosomal RNA", at positions 1 to 688 of the family's 2925-position model. The record is from RNAcentral. Lineage: Bacteria; Pseudomonadati; Pseudomonadota; Gammaproteobacteria; Enterobacterales; Enterobacteriaceae. RNAcentral also lists the same sequence under 2 other names.
GGGUUGUGAGGUUAAGCGACUAAGCGUACACGGUGGAUGCCCUGGCAGUCAGAGGCGAUGAAGGGCGUGCUAAUCUGCGAUAAGCGCCGGUAAGGUGAUAUGAACCGUUAUAACCGGCGAUACCCGAAUGGGGAAACCCAGUGUGACUCGUCACACUAUCAUUAACUGAAUCCAUAGGUUAAUGAGGCGAACCGGGGGAACUGAAACAUCUAAGUACCCCGAGGAAAAGAAAUCAACCGAGAUUCCCCCAGUAGCGGCGAGCGAACGGGGAGGAGCCCAGAGCCUGAAUCAGCAUGUGUGUUAGUGGAAGCGUCUGGAAAGGCGCGCGAUACAGGGUGACAGCCCCGUACACAAAAGCGCAUGUGCUGUGAGCUCGAUGAGUAGGGCGGGACACGUGGUAUCCUGUCUGAAUAUGGGGGGACCAUCCUCCAAGGCUAAAUACUCCUGACUGACCGAUAGUGAACCAGUACCGUGAGGGAAAGGCGAAAAGAACCCCGGCGAGGGGAGUGAAAAAGAACCUGAAACCGUGUACGUACAAGCAGUGGGAGCACCCUUUGGGUGUGACUGCGUACCUUUUGUAUAAUGGGUCAGCGACUUAUAUUCUGUAGCAAGGUUAACCGAAUAGGGGAGCCGGAGGGAAACCGAGUCUUAAC